RNA transcript from Lycium ferocissimum, 1188 nucleotides. RefSeq lists it as uncharacterized. NCBI's taxonomy places the organism in Eukaryota, Viridiplantae, Streptophyta, Magnoliopsida, Solanales, Solanaceae. The transcript is spliced from 5 exons. The record is from RefSeq and is a predicted model, not a curated record.
UAUUGAGAAUGGAAAACAAAUAGAUGGGGGAAAAUAGCUCAGCCCCAACUCUUCUAGAGAGCAAAAACACCAUCAUCUCCAAAGAUUUGUCUCCAGAUUCUAUUUCUAAGCUCAAUGGAUUCCUCAAAAGCAUGGGGGUAUUCAACCUUACCUUUCCUUCACAGUAUGACACUAAGGACUCUUUCUCUGAACUCACCCGUGGCUUCCUCAAAGUCCAACACAUCCACCGUGGCAAGAUUUCUUGUAUUGUCUCUGUCAAACCUCCUAUCAUGAAUUUCUAUGGUUCACUGCAUGGAGGAGCGAUUGGAGCUCUAGCAGCAAGGGUGGCAACUGGCUGUGCCCGAACUAUUGUGGGAAAGGAGAAGGAGCUCUUUCUUGGAGAAUUGAGCAUAUCUUAUCUCUCUGGUGCUCCUCGAAAUGCAGAAGUAAUAGUUAAUGCAUCCGUUAUUAGGAGUGGAAGAAACCUGACUGUAGUUGCACUGGAUUUUAGAGUAAAAGAUUCUGAGAAACUGAGUUACAUCGCUCAUGCAACAUUUUAUCACAUGCCUGUAGCAAGUUUAUGAACUAGACCUGCUUCAACACAUUAAGCCAAGACAUCCUGCUGUAACCAGUUUCCAGGAUUCUGAUAAUGCGUGCAUUUUCUUCUCGUUGACAAGGUUUGGAACUAAACAACAUCAGCUUGAAAUUUAAAAUGUUCGUUGAAGUACUUUUAUUUUGAGGAGUUGGUCAAAUUAAAGCAUACUACUUUUUUCUGCUAUUUUGGUGAACUUCCAUCAGCUUGGUUCUCGAUCAAUUGACUUGUUCGGUUCCAAAACUUGUGUUUCCUUUGCAUUUGUGUACAUGGUUAUAUUCUGAUGUUCAACAAGCCCUUUUAACACCUCAAAAUCAUGUAAAAGUUUGUAACUGAUAAAGGUGGAAAGACCAGAUAACUCACAAUAUCAAGGGCUGGCAAUGUUUCGCAAUUUUAUCAAAAUCUGGAAGAGUUCAGCUAUGUUGCUGGAGCAAAGAUUAUUCUGUUUCUGGUGCUUAAAAAACAUUUGUGUAAAUAAAGUUGUCUACCUUUCUGCCAAAUAGUGAUGUAAUCUCUUGGCAGAUAACUGAUGGCAUCAUAUAUAGUCCUUUACACUCAGUAAUGGGAUAGAAGAAGGAAACUCUAGUCUAGAAAUGAGCAUGAUAAUCAUCCCUUUA